AAGAGUUCAUAUCGACGGCGGUGUUUGGCACCUCGAUGUCGGCUCAUCACAUCCUGGGGCUGAAGUAGGUCCCAAGGGUAUGGCUGUUCGCCAUUUAAAGUGGUACGCGAGCUGGGUUUAGAACGUCGUGAGACAGUUCGGUCCCUAUCUGCCGUGGGCGCUGGAGAAUUGAGGGGGGGCUGCUCCUAGUACGAGAGGACCGGAGUGGACGCAUCACUGGUGUUCGGGUUGUCAUGCCAAUGGCACUGCCCGGUAGCUAAAUGCGGAAGAGA
Molecule: ribosomal RNA, 272 nt
Filed under: Klebsiella pneumoniae
Lineage: Bacteria; Pseudomonadati; Pseudomonadota; Gammaproteobacteria; Enterobacterales; Enterobacteriaceae
Description: partial 23S ribosomal RNA
Rfam family: Bacterial large subunit ribosomal RNA
Source: RNAcentral